AUUGAACGCUGGCGGCAGGCCUAACACAUGCAAGUCGAGCGAGCGGCGGACGGGUGAGGAAUGUAUGGGGACUGCCCGAUAGAGGGGGAUAACUACUGGAAACGGUGGCUAAUACCGCAUCCUGUCGGCUAACCCAGAUGGGAUUAGCUGGUAGGUAAGGUAAUGGCCUACCUAGUCGACGAUCCCUAGCUGGUCUGAGAGGAUGAUCAGCCACCAUGGGACUGAGACACGGCCCAGACUCCUACGGAGGCAGCAGUGGGGAAUAUUGGACAAUGGGCGAAAGCCUGAUGCAGCCAUGCCGCGUGUAUGAAGAAGGCCCUAGGAUUGUAAAGUACUUUCAGUUGGGAGGCGUUACCGACAGAAGAAGCACCGGCUAACUCCGUGCCAGCAGCCGCGGUAAUUC
Molecule: ribosomal RNA, 403 nt
Filed under: uncultured bacterium
Lineage: Bacteria
Description: partial 16S ribosomal RNA
Rfam family: Bacterial small subunit ribosomal RNA
Source: RNAcentral